AUACGUAGGGGGCGAGCGUUGUCCGGAAUUACUGGGCGUAAAGAGCGUGUAGGCGGGUACUUAAGUCAGGUGUGAAAGACCGGGGCUCAACUCCGGGGUUGCACUUGAAACUGGGUAUCUUGAGGGCAGGAGAGGAAAGCGGAAUUCCUGGUGUAGCGGUGAAAUGCGUAGAUAUCAGGAGGAACACCGGUGGCGAAGGCGGCUUUCUGGACUGACCCUGACGCUGAGACGCGAAAGCGUGGGGAGCGAACAGGAUUAGAUACCCUGGUAGUCCACGCUGUAAACGAUGGGCACUAGGUGUAGGAGGUAUCGACCCCUUCUGUGCCGCAGCUAACGCAAUAAGUGCCCCGCCUGGGGAGUACGGUCGCAAGGCUGAA
RNAcentral lists this ribosomal RNA (377 nucleotides) under uncultured bacterium. Its description in RNAcentral is "bacterial SSU rRNA". It matches the Rfam family "Bacterial small subunit ribosomal RNA", at positions 523 to 898 of the family's 1533-position model. The record is from RNAcentral.